Podarcis lilfordi (Lilford's wall lizard) is the source of this 212-nucleotide non-coding RNA. NCBI's taxonomy places the organism in Eukaryota, Metazoa, Chordata, Lepidosauria, Squamata, Lacertidae. The record is from the annotation of a GenBank genome assembly.
UUAGUGUAUUUUUCAUCUUUGUUGGAAGCCGCCCAGAGUGGCUGGGGAAACCGAGCCAGAUGGGUGGGGUACAAAUAACAAAAUAAUAAUAAUAAUAAUAAUAAUGAUGAUGAUAAUGAUAAUAAUAAUAAUUUUAUUAUUUGUACCCCGCCCAUCUGACUGGGUUGCCCCAGCCACUCUGGGUGCCUUCAAACAUAUAUAAAAACAUAAUA